Molecule: ribosomal RNA, 622 nt
Filed under: Picipes tubaeformis
Lineage: Eukaryota; Fungi; Basidiomycota; Agaricomycetes; Polyporales; Polyporaceae
Description: eukaryotic LSU rRNA
Rfam family: 5.8S ribosomal RNA (bases 219-372)
Source: RNAcentral
AAGGAUCAUUAACGAGUUUUGAAAGGGGUUGCAGCUGGCCAUCCUUGUCGGAGGCAUGUGCUCGCCCUGCUCAAUCCACUCUACACCUGUGAACUUACUGUGGGUCUUGGUGGGCCUUCGUCCUUCCGGGGGCGUCGGCUUUAACCUGGCCUACGUUUUAUUUACAAACACUUUUAAAGUAUCGAGAAUGUCUACUGCGAUAUAACGCAUUUAUAUACAACUUUCAGCAACGGAUCUCUUGGCUCUCGCAUCGAUGAAGAACGCAGCGAAAUGCGAUAAGUAAUGUGAAUUGCAGAAUUCAGUGAAUCAUCGAAUCUUUGAACGCACCUUGCGCUCCUUGGCAUUCCGAGGAGCACGCCUGUUUGAGUGUCGUGAAAUUCUCAACCUACAAAUCUUUUUUGUAGGCUUGGACUUGGAGGCUUUGCCGACGUUUUCUAAUGCCGGCUCCUCUCAAAUGCAUUAGCUUGUGUCCUUGCGGAUCGGCUCUUCGGUGUGAUAAUUGUCUACGCCGUGGUCGUGAAGCGUUUUUGACCGGCUUCUAAUGGUCUCGUUUACGAGACAAGUAUCAUUUUUCAAAUGACAAUCUGACCUCAGAUCAGGCGGGACUACCCGCUGAACUUAA